This 511-nucleotide ribosomal RNA is filed under the name Alburnus mento. RNAcentral's name for it is "partial 16S ribosomal RNA". It matches the Rfam family "Bacterial large subunit ribosomal RNA", at positions 1854 to 2565 of the family's 2925-position model. The record is from RNAcentral. Lineage: Eukaryota; Metazoa; Chordata; Actinopteri; Cypriniformes; Leuciscidae.
CAGCCUGCCCAGUGACUACGGGUUCAACGGCCGCGGUAUUUUGACCGUGCAAAGGUAGCGCAAUCACUUGUCUCUUAAAUAGAGACCUGUAUGAAUGGCUAGACGAGGGCUUAACUGUCUCCCCCCUUCAGUCAGUGAAAUUGAUCUAUCCGUGCAGAAGCGGGUAUAAUUAUACAAGACGAGAAGACCCUUUGGAGCUUAAGGUACAAAGUUCAACCACGUUAAACGACUCUACAUAAAGCAAGAACCUAGUGGCGAAUGAAAUUUUACCUUCGGUUGGGGCGACCACGGAGGAGAAAAAAGCCUCCGAGUGGACUGGGCUAAACCCCAAAGCUAAGAGACACAUCUCUAAGCCGCAGAACAUCUGACCAAAAAUGAUCCGACUGAAAAGCCGAUCAACGAACCAAGUUACCCUAGGGAUAACAGCGCAAUCCUCUCCCAGAGUCCAUAUCGACGAGGGGGUUUACGACCUCGAUGUUGGAUCAGGACAUCCUAAUGGUGCAGCCGCUAU